GAUCAUUAACGAGUUAGGGUCUUCUCAGGCCCGACCUCCCAACCCUUUGUUUACCCGACCCAUGUUGCUUCGGCGGGCCCGCCGUUUCGACGGCCGCCGGAGGACCGCCUAUUCAGGUCCUCUGGCCCGCGCCCGCCGGUAGCCAAUUCUACCAAACUCUUGAAUCAAAUCGUGUCCAAUGUCUGAGUAUAUUACAAAAUAAAAGCAAAACUUUCAACAACGGAUCUCUUGGUUCUGGCAUCGAUGAAGAACGCAGCGAAAUGCGAUAAGUAAUGCGAAUUGCAGAAUUCCAGUGAGUCAUCGAAUCUUUGAACGCACAUUGCGCCCUUUGGUAUUCCGAAGGGCAUGCCUGUUCGAGCGUCAUUAUCACCCCUCAAGCCCCCCGGCUUGGUGUUGGACGGUCUGGUCGAGCGUUUCCGCGCGACCCCUCCCAAAGACAAUGACGGCGGCCUGGUUGGACCCCCGGUACACGGAGCUUCUUCACUGAGCACGUAUCGGUUUCAAGGUGUCCCCGGGACCCGGUCGACCUCUCUUGCUCCCCUGCGGGAGUGGGAGAGAACCCCCCUUUUUAUCA
This 574-nucleotide unclassified non-coding RNA is filed under the name Exophiala dermatitidis. Its description in RNAcentral is "sequence contains 18S rRNA gene, ITS1, 5.8S rRNA gene, ITS2, 28S rRNA gene". The stretch from base 209 to 363 matches the Rfam family "5.8S ribosomal RNA". The record is from RNAcentral. Lineage: Eukaryota; Fungi; Ascomycota; Eurotiomycetes; Chaetothyriales; Herpotrichiellaceae.